CCCUUCGGGGACAAAGUGACAGGUGGUGCAUGGUUGUCGUCAGCUCGUGUCGUGAGAUGUUGGGUUAAGUCCCGCAACGAGCGCAACCCUUAUUGUUAGUUGCCAUCAUUUAGUUGGGCACUCUAGCGAGACUGCCGGUGACAAACCGGAGGAAGGUGGGGAUGACGUCAAAUCAUCAUGCCCCUUAUGACCUGGGCUACACACGUGCUACAAUGGGAAGUACAACGAGUCGCUAGACCGCGAGGUCAUGCAAAUCUCUUAAAGCUUCUCUCAGUUCGGAUUGCAGGCUGCAACUCGCCUGCAUGAAGCCGGAAUCGCUAGUAAUCGCGGAUCAGCACGCCGCGGUGAAUACGUUCCCGGGCCUUGUACACACCGCCCGUCACACCACGAGAGUUUGUAACACCCGAAGUCGGUGAGGUAACCUUUUUGGAGCCAGCCGCCUAAGGUGGGAUAGAUGAUUGGGGUGAAGUCGUAACAAGGUAGCCGUAUCGGAAGGUGCGGCUGGAUCACCUCCUUU
This 517-nucleotide ribosomal RNA is filed under the name Enterococcus faecalis. RNAcentral's name for it is "bacterial SSU rRNA". It matches the Rfam family "Bacterial small subunit ribosomal RNA", at positions 1016 to 1533 of the family's 1533-position model. Lineage: Bacteria; Bacillati; Bacillota; Bacilli; Lactobacillales; Enterococcaceae. The record is from RNAcentral.